This 388-nucleotide ribosomal RNA is filed under the name uncultured bacterium. RNAcentral's name for it is "bacterial SSU rRNA". It matches the Rfam family "Bacterial small subunit ribosomal RNA", at positions 28 to 417 of the family's 1533-position model. The record is from RNAcentral.
GACGGACGCUGGCGGCGUGCUUAACACAUGCAAGUCGAGCGGUAAGGCCCUUUCGGGGGUACACGAGCGGCGAACGGGUGAGUAACACGUGGGUGACCUGCCCUCAGCUCUGGGAUAAGCCUGGGAAACCGGGUCUAAUACUGGAUAUGACUCCAUGACGCAUGUUGUGGGGUGGAAAGCCUUGUGCGGCUGAGGAUGGGCCCGCGGCCUAUCAGCUUGUUGGUGGGGUGAUGGCCUACCAAGGCGACGACGGGUAGCCGGCCUGAGAGGGCGACCGGCCACACUGGGACUGAGACACGGCCCAGACUCCUACGGGAGGCAGCAGUGGGGAAUCUUGCGCAAUGGGCGAAAGCCUGACGCAGCGACGCCGCGUGAGGGAUGACGGCCU